GUAGGUGGCAAGCGUUGUCCGGAAUUAUUGGGCGUAAAGCGCAUGUAGGCGGUAAUUUAAGUCUGUCGUGAAACUGCGGGGCUCAGCCCCGUAUGGCGAUGGAAACUGGGUUACUUGAGUUCAGGAGAGGAAAGGGGAACUCCCAGUGUAGCGGUGAAAUGCGUAGAUAUUGGGAAGAACACCGGUGGCGAAGGCGCCUUUCUGGACUGUGUCUGACGCUGAGAUGCGAAAGCCAGGGUAGCGAACGGGAUUAGAUACCCCGGUAGUCCUGGCCGUAAACGAUGGGUACUAGGUGUGGGAGGUAUCGACCCCUUCCGUGCCGGAGUUAACGCAAUAAGUACCCCGCCUGGGGAGUACGGCCGCAAGGCUU
Molecule: ribosomal RNA, 370 nt
Filed under: uncultured rumen bacterium
Lineage: Bacteria
Description: bacterial SSU rRNA
Rfam family: Bacterial small subunit ribosomal RNA
Source: RNAcentral